GACGAACGCUGGCGGCGUGCUUAACACAUGCCAGUCGAACGGAAAGGCCCUGCUUGCAGGGUACUCGAGUGGCGAACGGGUGAGUAACACGUGGGUGAUCUGCCCUGCACUUCGGGAUAAGCCUGGGAAACUGGGUCUAAUACCGGAUAGGAGCCAUUUUUAGUGUGAUGGUUGGAAAGUUUUUUCGGUGUAGGAUGAGCUCGCGGCCUAUCAGCUUGUUGGUGGGGUAAUGGCCUACCAAGGCGGCGACGGGUAGCCGGCCUGAGAGGGUGGACGGCCACAGUGGGACUGAGAGACGGCCCAGACUCCUACGGGAGGCAGCAGUGGGGAAUAUUGCACAAUGGGCGCAAGCCUGAUGCAGCGACGCCGCGUGGGGGAUGACGGCCUUCGGGUUGUAAACUCCGUUCGCUAGGGACGAAGCUUUUUGUGACGGUACCUAGAUAAGAAGCACCGGCUAACUACGUG
This 465-nucleotide ribosomal RNA is filed under the name uncultured bacterium. Its description in RNAcentral is "partial 16S ribosomal RNA". It matches the Rfam family "Bacterial small subunit ribosomal RNA", at positions 28 to 507 of the family's 1533-position model. The record is from RNAcentral.